This is a long non-coding RNA of Chiroxiphia lanceolata (lance-tailed manakin), 7026 nucleotides long. RefSeq lists it as uncharacterized. Lineage: Eukaryota; Metazoa; Chordata; Aves; Passeriformes; Pipridae. The record is from RefSeq and is a predicted model, not a curated record. The transcript has 7 exons.
GCCGGGCUCGGGGUGGCUCUGCCAUGGCUUUAAUGUUUGCUGCUGCCUCUCCCAGGGGGAACUGUGGUUCUCCAGCCUGCCCGGGGUGCUCCGGGCCCGCUCACCGAGGCGGCACUGUUGAGUUGGUAGUAGAGAGGUGAGUUGGGGCUGAACUCAGAGUUGAUGGUGGCGUUGGCCUGCAGGACAGCGGCGCUCAUGUACAGGAUGGCCGUGGCACCGUGGUACAAACUGUCCUGCAAAGCAAGGCUCGGGUGAGUGCUCCAGAGGGACACACAGCCGGACAGGGAUGGGAUGAACCCUCCCUGCCGACAGCUGCCGGCGUCCCGGCCCCUCCUUACCAGCACUUUCCAGUUCUCGCUGUUCCUGUGGAAGCCCAGGAGGUAGCUGAGGAGGAGCAGCAGGGAGAUGAGGCAGGAGGUGAGGGACACGUACAUCACCCAUCCCUGCAGCAGCGGGAGGGACACGGAGGUAGCGGCGACGAGGAUCCACACCCAGGUCCCGCAGAGCUGCCGGGGACAAACAGGCGCCUCGGGUGAGCACGGGAUGAGGAAAACUCCUUCCCUCCCAGUCCCUCCUGGGCUGGCCCCAGCAGCCAGCGGAAGCCCUGCAUCCUUCCCGGAGCAUCCCGGCACGACAGCGGCACCAGUUUCCUUGAACACUCAUGGGAAGUGAGUGUUCCUACGAAAGGGAGAGGUUUGCUGCCGCCUUCCACACAAGGAAAUGUCUCACCCUGAGGCGUUUGGUGCAGAAGCAGAAAAUUGGGCUUUUAUCUGGGAAAGGUGAACGGCCACAGCAUCGCCCAGCCCUGCCCUGCUUGUUAAUUCUCAGGGCUUGAAAUCCAGCACGAGGAGGCCUCCUCACAGCUCCCCGCACCAGCCCCGAGCCAGUAGCUCGCUCUGGAUCCACCCAACAGGUUUACUGUGCACAAACAGCACCAGGGCUUUGUCAGGAUGAGCCAGUGCCGCCCUGUGCCACCCCAGCUCCGGUGGGUGAAGCCUGGAAUUGCUGCCCAGGGGAGCUGAGCCCACUGGCACAGCAGGGAUUAUGCCUGUGGAGCAGCGGGGUGUGGGUCUCCAGCCCAGUGUCAAAGUACACCAGCUAUUAUUGCAGCCAGUCGCACUGGGUGCCCUCUGGACCCACGAGCGCUUGAAAGAAUCGUGGAAUGUCACACAUCAGAAGACGCCCAAUUGCCUUCAACCCCUGGGAAGACUCGAUACAGGAUAGACACAGACAGGCUUGAUACAGAGAGCGAAAUUCCCUUGAUUUUCAAACAGUUUCUGGGUGCUAACAAGAGCUGCUUGUGCCCUGAGGAGCCAGCAGCUCUUCUGCCUCUCCCAGCCCUACGGCAGCCAGUGACCCUGGGAUGGAGCUGGAGUGUACCUUGUCCUCAAGCUGUUCCAAAAAACCCCAUCACGAAGACCACCUUUGUGCAUCCAGCCCAGGCUCAAAGCCAAGAUGUUACUUCCCACGACCGCUGUCUCCGGGAUCAUUUGGGGGCUGCUCCCAGGAAUUUAGCCAUGAGCCAGGUGCCGUAACGCAGCGGAGCUCGGGAUACUCACGAUCUCGGGCAGGAUGAAGGCGUAGGGGAUGGUUUUGAAGACGGCGGGUCCGGAGGGCAGGGCGGGCUGUGUGGAGGCCGUGGAGGGACCCACUGAGGCCAUGUCUCCUCAGCUGACACCAGGAUCACUCGGCUCACACUCGCCUGCACCGGGUUUUAAGGGACACACCCGCGGGACGUAAUCACAGGAACCAGCCCAGGCUGGCACCGCGCCGGCCCGGGAGCCCUCGGCACCCGCCCGGCACUGCGGCUCCACACGCCCCUCUGCCAGGGCUGGGAGGGCAGCGGGACCCCGGCCCUGCCACACCGUCAGUUCAAGGUCCUUACCCAGAGGGGAGAGGAGAAAACUUCCUACACACCGGGGCAGAAAUGUUUCCUGCAAAGAGUUGCCGUCCUUGGCACGCUUCCAAGCCUGAAAUAUUUUCCCUUCCAGUGUUGUUGCCUCCUCCCCUUUCUGUUCAGGUUUCUGCUCCGUGUUCUCAUCGGACCCCUCCACGCCCUGCAGGCACAUCCAGCCUUCCAAAACUGGCUGGCAGACGAUUUGGACAGACAGCACUCUGGAACAAGCCGGGAGGGUUUGCCCCUGUGCUCCCAAGUGCCCUGAAAGGUUUGAGAGAGAGUUGCUGGGAUUUCUGCAUCCUGACGGAUGCACUUUGGAUUCGGGAGGCACUCACUGCUUCAUCCAGCAGACUCUGCCUCGCCCCAGAACUCCCCCAUAGCUGAUGGGAUGGAAGGCUGAAGGUGACCCAGAGGGGACAGAAUCACCUCACUAACUGGGGCAAUGUGCUCCAGCAGGAGGACACUGUCCCAGUAAGAUAUCCCGUCUGUGUUAGGAGAGUCAGGUGAUGCCCCAGGAACUGCCAAGCCUUAUGUGACACAGACCAAAGAUCAAAUCCAUGUUUCCUGUCUGAGCCCUUCCUAGGCCGGGGGAAGUGCUCUGUGGCAUUUCUGGAGGCUCCAGGGCACAGGUGCUCCCAUGGGAGCUGUUCUGGGGCUCCAUGCACUGUGCUUGGAAGAUCUUGUUUUAAAUCAUUUCCCACCUGGCAAAACUGCCUGGCCUGGGCUUAAGUCCAUCAGACACAAUGGCAAUGUCCCCAUCACGCUGCGGGAAGCAUCCAGAUGCUCCAGCACUAAAGGGAAACCGGAUUGGUAACUUCCCCCUGGGAAGGGGCAGCACACGGAGCCUGCGGUCACAAGGUGCUCGGGGAAAAGCAGCUGGCACAGGGGUCAGAACGGAGGGAACCAUCCCAGGGGAGCCAGUGCCCUGAAUUCCCACCAGCUGUUAGGUGUGUUAGGUCAGGCACAUUCCUGUGAAUGGCCCAGCCUUCUCCUGAGUGGGGCAGAAAAGCAGGCAAACAGUCUAAAAAUGGAGGAACGUGCUGUCCACGGGUUGGGCAAGAGAGGAUUUUUUUCCCCUCACCUGGCUGCCCUUGCUCAGCAGCAUUCUUAAGGAUCUCUGCUCUUCCCCUUCCCUGCUCCCAGCCUGCUGGGGGACAGGCACAAAGGGCCUUUUGUUCACCCUGAUUAAAACAACACUGGGAAUUAAUUGGAAGAAGCUGCACGAGAGGAGGAAAGUGCUGAGAAGUGGAGCCUCAGCUUCGGCAAAAUACGGCACUCGAAGUGGCUACAACAGGUAGUGACAGACAAGCAGAGCCUUGUCCAACAUUUGUCAAAAACUGAAGUUACACUGAUGAAAUAAUUCCAGUCUCUCCUCUCCCAAAAUGUAAAAGUGUUAAAAUACUCAUUACAAUUCCAUAGUAUGGUCCCUUUGGUAAGAAUUUAUUUGUGUUGUCACCCCGUCCUUAGAGAGCCUGAGUUGUUCUUUAAUCCAUUAAUUCUCCAGGAUUUUUCCUCACUUCCCCUAAGAAAUCAUAAGCCAGCUCUGAGAUGUCAAAGGCUUUGUGGGUGGUUUCUGAGGACAGCAGGUACUGCAGAGCGCCGUCGUUCUCCCGGCUCUUCCUCAAGAAGUCAUGGAUCGCCUUCCAGCGGGACAUUUCUGCCUCCUCCUCAGCCCACUUGUAGCUGGGCAGGAACGUGGACUGGAGGAGAGGGAAGACAGAGUCGUGGUACACCAGGACAAACACAGACUUCAGGAAUUCUUGAUCUCUCUGCAGGGAAGAAAAUACUUCAGUGCAAACUCGUGGUGCUGCCAAGCACUUCUCCAAAGGAUUGUGCACAGGGAGAUGCGACCUUCCUAAACAAAUAUCCAUUAUCUUGGAUAAGCCUAAAGAAUACAAACCAUAGAUCAACAAAUCUGCUCUCCAAAGCCCUGCCAGUGCUCCCACAAACCACGGGCACUGAGAUUUGCUUGUGGGGUAUUUAUAUUCCUUCCUAAAACUAGUGCCACAUCCUCCCUGCCCUGGAAACCCAAACUCUGCUCAUAUUCCCGAGGCGGAGAGAAGGAGAACCAGGAGCUCUGCUCCCGCGCUCCUCGGAGCAGGAGGUGAGUCUGCCCCUGGGUGCUCCGGGGUGAGAAUUAUGUGUUCCCCUGCAGAGGUCAGUCUGGAAAACCCAGAGACUUAAGGAUCAGCCUGGUUGAUUAUCAAACACACGGGAAGGAUCCUGACGGCUGCCAGCGGGAAAACUCCUGGAGCUCGGAGCGUUCCAGAGCCGCGAGGGCCGUGCCCGGCAUCGAGCACUUCAUGGCUCAGCAGGAGAUGUGGCAGCUCAGAGUCACAGAGCCAUGAGGGGUGAGCACCCUGCAGGCAGCAGUCCUGCCCUGGGAGGGGCACACGCCAGUCAGGUAAAACUGGAUGGUUCUGGGAUCCCGGGGAGUCACCGAUUCCGUGAGCAGCUCACCUCUCCUUUUGGAUGAAUGGCCCUGAAAAAGCCAUUCUGACUCAAGGGUUUGUGUAAACAGGGAGCAAUCCUUGUGCACGGGGAAGGAAACAUCCCACUGCUGCUCCCAGGAAGUCCUGGAUGGAGAGCCAGUGGUUUUCCCACUGAGUUCUCUGCAGCUGCUCUUCGGGCAGAGGACAGGAGGUAGGGCAGGGUGAGGGCGAGCCUGGUGACAGCCGGGUCAGUUCUCCAGCUGCCUCCACACCAAAACGUGAUUAAAACUGUCUGGGGUGGGGAGAUGGGAGGAAUCUGGGGGCCUUUUCCCAGGCAGACCUGAGCUCAGAGGUUGGAGGAGGGCAGAUGAUUCUGUGGGCAUGCACAGCCUCUUUUGUAUCCAUGGGAGUAACAGGUUCCCCACCAACAAAGCUGAGACAAAAAGUUACAAGUUAAUUUAAUUAUCCUCCUCCUCCUGGUUUACUGUUAUAAAUCUGAGUAAGAAGUGUUGAGAACUCUAUUUAACGUGUCUCUAUUUUUUAAGUGAGUGAGAGGAAAAGCUGAGCAGCAAUAACACUGACAGGGAGCAGCUAGUUUGGACUCCACUGAAUAUAUGGAAAGAAAACCCCGUAGUUUGUUACCUUCUCAGUUCUCUUCAACGUUCUUUCUCUGUCUGCCCAAGCACUCUAAAAAUGAAAUGUAAAAUCAGACCAAGGCUGUGGAGAACUUUAUCUUUCCACAGGACAAAAACACCCUUAAAUUUUGUCUGGAAAUCCCGACAGGGUGACGUACCCGAAGCGCAUCCAUCAGGUCUGGCUGAUCCACGAGCUGAGGGAAAGUUGCUAAAACAGGAUUACAGAUUAAAUCUGAAACAGAAAACAAACACAUUCCCAAGGCUAAGUACAGAGCACAUCCAGGUACUCUGCACAUCCCCUCCCCUCGGAUUUUUCCAAAGGGAAAAUGAGCUGUAACAGUUCUCCUGAGGGCAGGGAAGGCAGGAGAGCUCCCUAACAACUGACUUCUCUGACUGUAGCCAGCUCUCAGUGGCUGGGAGACACUUACUCCAGGAGAACAGACACACAAAAACCAGCUCCUGGUUUACUGGGAGCACCAGCAAGCAUAUAUUCCUUUUAAAUAUUCCUCAUUUACCUGCCUGAGGGGUUUUCCCUCAUUCCUGCACCUGCCUUUUUUUUUUUACACACAGCUGCAACUGUGCUGCUUGGUUGGGAUGUUAUGGAUAAACACACUUGGGUUCUACCUCGACCUGGCAUGUCUUGUGUGGCAUUUUAAGAGAAGCAGGUACCAAGUGGCACAGAGAAUUUACCAAGUGGGGUAAAUCCCACUGCACAGGGGUCCUGGUGCUUUUUGGGCUGCCUCUCAUAAGAAAGUGCUCUGCUCCUGUCCUUAUUUUCAUUGAUGAGAUUGUGGAUAAGAUUACAAGUGACAGAGGGCAGAAUUUUGGUUGAAGUCUUUCCUUUCUCUUGUGAGUUCAAAUAUUUAAUACACACUGUCAUUUCUUCCUCUUGAAGCUGAUGGAAAGUUUAGUAAACACGAAGCUUUUACUAAACCAAAACAUUUAAAGGCUGCAGGCCAGAACUUGUGGCUCCUGUGAGACAGAGCAGGCAUUUUAAACUGCCUGUUUCUGAAGUGAUGGGUGAUUUUGUAAUAACAGAAAUCUUCCUUAGUGACACACAGCCAGAAGAACUUCUGAAACACCUUUCAGUCGUUUCAAAUGAGGUCUGGAUCCAAAGGGGUGCAAUUUAAUCCCAGGAGAGCCUGAUCUGCUGUGCCAAGUUAUGAAGAUCAAAUCAGGACAUCUCUGGACUGCACACUCGGUGACCUCAGCUUCACCAGCAGCACAGGCUGUUUCCUGAGUGCCAGGAACUGAUGGAAAACCCCACCAGCUGCUGCAGGAACAAAGCCCCGGGAUGGAAUCAGCCAGGUGGAAAGAACGGCCAGAGUUACAUCCCAAAAACCUCAUGGGAACUCUUUGCCACCCAGCACUCCACAGCCAAGGGAAGUGCAGGUCUUGGAAACCAGUCUCCAAAUUUUUACCUGGGGAAGGGAUAAGCAGCAAAGUGCACACACAAAGAAGAGGCAGAAUCCCAGAGGACUGGUCUGGAUGAGCAGUGUGUAAGUAUGGGAGAGUUCCACACCAGGUCUUUGAAAGCCAGCUGGGAUGGAGUCAGCUCAGGCUGCAAGUAGGAACUCGCUCGAAACUUAUCGCCUACAACAAGGGCUGGUGACCAGGGCGAGGAACUCACCACAGACCCCUGAGAAUCCUGCACUGGAACUAUCAGGAGAAAUCCUUACCUUUCUCUAGGAGCUGGAAAAGCGUGGAUGGGCGGAAUCCUGUGGGAACUGCUCCUAUGGUGCAGCAGCUUCCUAACCAUAUCUAACACCUCAGAACUCCCCAACAAACCCACUCAGGAGAAAAAAAAACCCACAUAGCUCUUGUACAGGAAAGAACCAAAGACCCCUGUGAGAUUUUCCUCAGCCCCGGAGGGCUGGGCAGCAACCAGCCUGCAAAGAAGGAGCAGGGAGACAACUGGACAACCGGGAGAAGAAAGGAAAGGCGGAGAGGGAACUCUUUGCUCCUUCUGAUGCAGCGUGAUGGGGACGGAGAGAUCUCUUUCCACACACAGAGCAGAGCCGGGCGGCUCCUGGAUGAAGGUGACAGGGAUCGAGGGUCGGGG